Molecule: small RNA, 62 nt
Filed under: Arabidopsis thaliana (thale cress)
Lineage: Eukaryota; Viridiplantae; Streptophyta; Magnoliopsida; Brassicales; Brassicaceae
Description: ATSL117470
Source: RNAcentral
AUCUAUAAUUCUAUUUUCGUUGAGCUCAUCUAUACAACUCUUUCUGAAGUCCAACAAAUUCU